Molecule: ribosomal RNA, 478 nt
Filed under: uncultured bacterium
Lineage: Bacteria
Description: partial 16S ribosomal RNA
Rfam family: Bacterial small subunit ribosomal RNA
Source: RNAcentral
GAUGAACGCUGGCGGCGUGCUUAACACAUGCAAGUCGAACGGGAAACCUUUUAUUGAAGCUUCGGCAGAUUUAGCUGGUUUCUAGUGGCGGACGGGUGAGUAACGCGUGGGUAACCUGCCUUAUACAGGGGGAUAACAACCAGAAAUGGUUGCUAAUACCGCAUAAGCGCACAGGACCGCAUGGUCCGGUGUGAAAAACUCCGGUGGUAUAAGAUGGACCCGCGUUGGAUUAGCUAGUUGGCAGGGUAACGGCCUACCAAGGCGACGAUCCAUAGCCGGCCUGAGAGGGUGAACGGCCACAUUGGGACUGAGACACGGCCCAGACUCCUACGGGAGGCAGCAGUGGGGAAUAUUGCACAAUGGGGGAAACCCUGAUGCAGCGACGCCGCGUGAGGGAAGAAGUAUCUCGGUAUGUAAACUUCUAUCAGCAGGGAAGAUAGUGACGGUACCUGACUAAGAAGCCCCGGCUAACUACGUG